This 481-nucleotide ribosomal RNA is filed under the name uncultured bacterium. RNAcentral describes it as "partial 16S ribosomal RNA". It matches the Rfam family "Bacterial small subunit ribosomal RNA", at positions 28 to 507 of the family's 1533-position model. The record is from RNAcentral.
GAUGAACGCUGGCGGCGUGCUUAACACAUGCAAGUCGAACGAAGCAUUUAGGACAGAUUACUUCGGUUUGAAGUUCUUUAUGACUGAGUGGCGGACGGGUGAGUAACGCGUGGGUAACCUGCCUUGUACUGGGGGAUAGCAGCUGGAAACGGCUGGUAAUACCGCAUAAGCGCACAAUGUUGCAUGACAUGGUGUGAAAAACUCCGGUGGUAUAAGAUGGACCCGCGUCUGAUUAGCUAGUUGGUGAGAUAACAGCCCACCAAGGCGACGAUCAGUAGCCGACCUGAGAGGGUGACCGGCCACAUUGGGACUGAGACACGGCCCAGACUCCUACGGGAAGCAGCAGUGGGGAAUAUUGCACAAUGGAGGAAACUCUGAUGCAGCGACGCCGCGUGAGUGAAGAAGUAAUUCGUUAUGUAAAGCUCUAUCAGCAGGGAAGAUAGUGACGGUACCUGACGAAGAAGCUCCGGCUAAAUACGUG